Non-coding RNA from Podarcis muralis (Common wall lizard), 3738 nucleotides. Lineage: Eukaryota; Metazoa; Chordata; Lepidosauria; Squamata; Lacertidae. The record is from RefSeq and is a predicted model, not a curated record.
UCUUCUGAUCGGCAAGUCCUAGGCUCUGUGGUUUAACCCACAGCGCCAUCUGCGUCCCUACUGGUGGUUGUAGUGAUUAAGAAAAACCUGUGACCUCCACAGUUCACUUCCAGUUGUUUAACCAUGGUUAAGUCAUCAUGAACAUCAGGUCUGUACUGUAACCAAGGAAGAAGAAGGUGAAAAUGUCUGACCACAAGAGAGAAAUAUGGAGGCAAUGCAUUGGUGGAUUUCUUGUGUGAUUGUGGGUAUCAGUGCACAAGGAGCUGUCCAAAAUGCUCUGUACCUACCAGUCUGAAUAUAUCUGUUCUUGCUCUCCUCUGAUUUAUGUUGCCAUGUAAUGUCUAUAUGUUUGGAUGUCAUGCCAAUUCUGAGUGUUAUUUAAACAGAAUAAUGGAGAGGAGGAAGAAUAAAAUUGAUUGAACACAAAGGGAAUUAGUAACGUAAUGUUAUGUUUUGUCAGGGCCUUAUGCACCAAAGUCAGCUGUGAAAUUAUUUUUUACGAUAGGCCUUAUUGUCCAUAAUACAGUCCUAAAUUCUACAAACCCAUGAGAAGCUUAUGUGCUAAUUAUUAUUCUAACAUUGACUGUAGUUUUUUGGGAACAUUUUAAAAUCUAAACUGUUUACCAGGGAUGCACAAAGUUUGGCUGACCUUGGUAUCCAGCCAAAAUUCAGGUUGCCAUGACCCCGAGGGCAAAGUUUUGUCUUUGGCAUAAUGAUCUUUGACGGUGCUCUAAAGCACAGUGUGAGCUCACCAGCAUGACAAGUGAAUUUGUGGACCCACAAGUUCAACAAAAAUCUUUAGAAACAAAAAAUGGGUGUUGAGAAAUAGCAUCAUUUGCAUGAGGAAUUUUUAUAAAACAGCAUACCCUUUUUUUGUUCAAUUUAUUUCAAUUAAAACCCAUGGACGCGUUCCCCUCCCCUUCCUAUGUUGUACUCAGGACUGUGCCAGGGAGAUGUCAUGUUUCGUACUUACUGCCCUGCUUAUCUCAACUUUGGGAAAUUUAUGAAACUGGGCAUACUUGCACAAGUGGAGCAAAAACGUGCUGUUAAUAAGGUAAACAGACCUAUAAUUACAGCCUUUAGUACAUCACUAAAUACACCUUGCAUUCCCUGGAGGAAAUAGCUUGAGCUUUUUAAGUCUCUGGACUGAUGGUCCUGUGUGAAACUAAACAAAUAAUGAAUUUGUAGAGGUAGCCAUAAUUCAAGGGCUAGAGUAUCUCCAUUGUAUACAAAAGGUCCUAGGUCCAGUCCCCAGCUGGCAGAGCUUGGAAAGGCCACUGCCUGACACCCUGGAGAAUCACCGUGAGUCAGAGUAGACAGUAAUGACUUGGAUAGACCAGUGGUCUGAUUUGGUGUAUGGCCGAAACUUUUGAAUCCUUUACAGAAGCACAGAAUUGCAUCUUGCCAACAAGCGAAGGAUGUAUUCAAGUGACUAAAAAUGAUGCUCUUCCAGAUUAUUGCAUGAAUAACUCCAUAAAUCAAAACAUUUACAGAUACAUGGUAAUUAAUUUACAACUGCAGAGAUGCACACAAGCACCAGCAAGCAUUUUGUGGAGACCAGCCCUGCUAGUGUAUAAAGAAAUGGAAAUGGUAAGCAGUCAUUACUCUGUGGCAUCAUAUUGGAUGGACUACAAGUGGUGAUGAUGAUUGGACUUGAACCAGACUGCCAUAAAACAUGUACCUGUCUUCAGUGUGUUAAGUGAUCUAUUGCCAGCUAAAAUAAGGUAGCAAAGGUGAAUAAGCAGGCAGUUAUGUGACUUUAUGAUAGUCAGCUGUAGCCCAGAUUUUGAAACCUGAUUUUCCUGAACUAGCUUUGAAAUCUGAGAACAGAAGUCCUUCAGUUUUAAGGUGCAUUGAAUACUCUUCCCAGGCUUACGUAUUGUGAAAAAGUGUUUUCUGACAUUGAUGGCUUCCUCUUUUUGCCUACUUGGGGGACAACCUAGGAACAUAGAAAUGUAUUAGUUUGUGAACUAAUUGGGUGGAAUUCAGCGUCACACUAUUUAAAUUGUUCUGCCAAUGCAAGUAUUUCUGCUUGCCAAACAGAAUUAUCUCCCCUCUCUUUCCCCUGUACACUGUUCUGGGGGGGGGGGUCUGAUUCCCACCAGCCAAUUUGGGAGGAGGCCCCAGUUGUGCCAGCAUAACUGGUUUUUCUGGCUCCCAUUUAGCACAGCUAUUCAGUUGAAUUCAGCCCAUAGAAAUUGUUUAAGCCCUGAGCAUAACCCACUCAGUGCCCUCCACUACCUGCACAGAAUGUUUCCAGCCCUCUUAGCAUCACUAGAGAUACCUGUGACUGAGAACAAUGGCAGCAAACAAAGACGGACUUCCUCAUAACUUGCAUCUGGAAUUACAGUUUCCAGUUAUGGCACUCUCAUGGGUGGUGUACAGCAAGCAUAUUUACAUGGUUUUGUCUACUCAGGCUGCAGGGGACAUCAAACAUCAUCUUUAAAAUCCUCUGACGGUUACUGUGAUAGGUGCACAGUGUGGUUAGUUUAAUGGCGUAAGUAUAUUGCACAGACCGGUGCUGCACCAACACACACUUGCAUUUUCUUUAAUCACCAAGUUUUGCUUUGGCUUCCUUUCUUUCUGCUUCAGGAGUUCUAUGUAGGGAGAGUUUCUGCCAUUCCCACUACUGACUGCCAGCAUGAAUUUUGACUAUUUCUUCCCCAAGGUAAGGAUGGUAGUCAUUUUAAGAAGUCAGUUGUUCUGCUGUGUAAUAUUAAACUUAACUGAAUAUAUGUUUUCUUCUCAGGUGAGGUCUCAAAGUGUGUGCUGUGCCUCCUCCACUUACUGAUUCCCUAUUGUAAUCCAGGUUUGAACUCUUUCCCAAGCUACAUUGUGACCAGUCUAUCGGACUGCCAUGUGACCACAAGAACCUCCAUCAGAACCCUAGGUUCCUCCCUGCCAUCCCACAAAACAAACAAACAAACAAACAAAAAUGAACACCAGAAGAACUUCUGAAAGCAGGUCAACCGUUGCCACGGCGAUCAGAUUGUAACUGUGGACCUUCUAUCACAGCAUCUUUGAAGCAAUGCAUUUCAGUGGACAGCAGCAGAGCCUAGAUCUAGGUGGCCUUCUCUGAAACAGCAGCUAAGCCAUGGAUACAUCGUGUGGCAUCUUGGGCACAUCUGUAUUGCUUAGGGUUAACUUAUUAUGCUGUAACUGAAUAAUAACGCAGGCGGCAAACAUUUUGUGCAGGGGCUUCCGUUCCUAGCCCCGUGAGAAUCGGUGGGGCGCAAAUAAGCCUGCCCCACCCUGUUAAUGUCCCUGUUCCGCCCUCUUCUGGGUCCGAAAGGACCUGCACAUUGGCAGUCGCUUGUUGGGGGGGGGACGAAAGUGUUGCCGCCUUUUGUGCCUUCCCUCACAAAGUUAUUGUGAGAAUUAAAAAAAAAUGAAUAUUAUGAACUUACAUUAGAUGUGGGGCAAACUAAACGUGUAAAUUUUAAUGAAAUGAUACCAAGGAGAUCAACCAGUACUAAAGCAGAUGUAGCCACCAGCAUGUAUAAUAAAACAAUGUUCAAUAAACAUGUGCCAAAAACUAUCUGUACAAGCUAUACUUAAGAGCACUUUACAACACUUCAAAAUACGUAAGAAGUACAUUUUAUAUUGAGCCUUUGCUCCAAUAUUCUUCUGUGCAGUACCGUGUUUGUUUGUGUAAUCAUGGGAAAUGACUUGUCAAGGGAGAUUAAGAAAUCUUGGUGGUGAUAAAUGAAAGUGGGCUUGUGGUUUCUUGAAACUCAA